This is an RNA transcript of Magnolia sinica, 2102 nucleotides long. It is a transcript of the gene named pentatricopeptide repeat-containing protein At1g11290, chloroplastic-like, with no coding region annotated. NCBI's taxonomy places the organism in Eukaryota, Viridiplantae, Streptophyta, Magnoliopsida, Magnoliales, Magnoliaceae. The transcript is spliced from 3 exons. The record is from RefSeq and is a predicted model, not a curated record.
UGAAAUGGCUCUUUGCUUCUUUUUUUCUUCUUAUUAUUUUUUUUUGAACAUUUAGUAGCUCUUUGCUUUUAAGGUUGCAUUGAUAAAAUUAUAAUUCAUCAAAAAAAAAAAAAAAAAACUAAAGAUUUGCUACUGGUGUCCUGCAGUGGAGAUGUUGAGAAUAUUUACCUAUAGCCAAUUGCAAUUGGACUUCCUUACUAAAGAUGGAGUGACUAGAGCAUCAGUCAUUGCCUGUUCUUAGUAUUCUAUUUUCAAUCUUUUCUUCUAAACAAAUAUUGUUACUGUCCCAUCUCAGAUUUGAAGCAAAACAGAGAGAAACACCAUGUUAAAGAACUCUUUAAAAAAACAUUUCUGUUACAGGUCAUUAUCUAUCAUUGUGCUUUCUCCAUGCAGAGACCUCAGCUUUAACAGCCUGACUGGCGAUAUUCCAAGCUCCUUUGAAAGCCUUGCAAGAGUGGAUUUCAUGUAGUUUUGCACUGAAGAAGCAAAUGCUGGAUGACAGAAGAUUCUCCAAAAUGCAUCUGAAUUUGCAAUGCCUCCUGCAGGUAUUUUCUCAAUGUCUAUACACAUUGCCUUAGAGAAAAAUAUGUACAAAAGGUGCUUACCCAAUCACAAGGGAAGCGCACUAAAUAGGAAAACUCCACAAACAUCACUACUUGUGGCUUCACCUAGCAGAUGUGGGACAUCUGUAUGGUGUGACUUACUGUGUAGAUACCUGGUCCAGAAAUCAGGUGGAUCACUCAUCAGGGAGCCACUUGUGUGUGUGAUUGUGGACCAUUGGGAAGUUGUUUAUGAAUGUGAAAACCAAAGUAGCCUGUAUUGUGAAUGCUAUCCAUCCAAGUGGGGCCCAAUAGAGCAAUGAUCCCAGAUUUACAAAAAUAAAAAAUAAAAAAUGAAGAGAAUGCCAAUUGUGUUAGAUGCCCCAUUUGUUUGGAUAUCAAACUUAAAUAAGUAUCUUUUUUUAAAAAAGUAAUUUAUUUCAGUCCUUUUUCUUUUUUGCUUUUCAAGUUCCAAAAGCAACUUAUUUCCUUCAUUUUUGUUGGUGACACAGCAGGUUGAUUGCAAAACAGUAACAGUUCCUUCAAUCUGUUGAUACGAGACAACUUUUAUCCAUUUGUAGUUCUAUCCAAUCCUCUUCUGUAGUUCCUUGUUAUCAUGAAAACCCAUUCUCCGCAAACAUAAAACUUUCUGUGCUUUUCCAAUUAGUGAUGCUAGAUGUUUGGAACAAAAAAAAAAAAAAAAGGGAAAGAAAGAAAGAAAGAAAGAAAAGAAAAGAAAAGAGAGAAAAAAAGAAGCUAGAAUGUAAGAAAACUGCAAGUGGACUAAGACCAAACCACUAACAAUUAACUCAAACCACAACUAAAAAAUCUAAGGAUCAAUUAAAAAUACAUUAGUUUGUGUUUAUCAAAUAUAAGAGAAAUGUGCUCAAGGGAACUAAGACCAAACCACUAACAAUUAACUUUGGUGCUUGCAAGUUAUGUUGAGGAUGCAGGGGAUCCUUAUAGAGAUCAGAUGGAAGAUUAUAUUAGUUUAAUAAUGGAAGAAUUGAAAUCUAGAGGAAUUGCCAACAAUCACACUCUUGCAUACCAGGUAAUUCAUUUAAAAUUUCAGCUUUUGGUUUCUAGCUUUGAUUUCCAACUAUUAGAAAUUUCCAAUAAUCACUCAAACAUCAUGGCCGUCAUCAAAGUAGGUUUUUCUGAUUUCUACCUGAUCAGCUUUACAUUGGAUCGUUUACAUUUUUAUUUUUUGUUAUUUAUGCAAGUUCAGCUAGGAAUAAUUCUUUGACGAAUUAAAAGAUGAUCAUUGCAUGUUCUUGAUUUGGAUUUCUACCAACCAUUCCCUUGGUCAGUAGCCAAUUACCUUCUUUCAAGAGGUUUUGCAUUAUGUGACCAUCCUUCCAUCUUGGACAGAGAAGAAACACAGGGCUUGUUCAGGUACUAGAAUUAUGUCCAUGUUGUCCAUAUUCUUUUCUAUCUUUCCGUAUUCAUACUAAAGGCAUAUAGUAGAUUCAAUUUCCCUCUGAAAAAGCAGCUUCCCAUAUUUUACCACUUAAAUAUGGUUGUGUUGUGUACCAAUCACAACCAAAUUCAAACAAGUGGAGA